RNAcentral lists this unclassified non-coding RNA (357 nucleotides) under soil metagenome. RNAcentral describes it as "partial contains 5.8S ribosomal RNA, internal transcribed spacer 2, and large subunit ribosomal RNA". The stretch from base 1 to 120 matches the Rfam family "5.8S ribosomal RNA", at positions 35 to 154 of the family's 154-position model. The record is from RNAcentral.
GAUGAAGAACGCAGAGAAAUGCGAUAAGUAAUGUGAAUUGCAGAAUUCAGUGAAUCAUCGAAUCUUUGAACGCACAUUGCGCCCGCUGGUAUUCCGGCGGGCAUGCCUGUUCGAGCGUCAUUUCAACCCUCAAGCUCUCCGGAGUUUGGUGUUGGGGCGCCUGGGGCUUUUCGACCUCAGGGCCCUCAAGUCCAUCGGCGGGACCGCCAGGACACUGAGCGCAGUACUAUUAUUUCGCUCGGUAGGAUCUUCCACGGCGGGUCGAUCUGGCCGCUAAACCCCCCAAUUCUCACCAAAGGUUGACCUCGGAUCAGGUAGGAAUACCCGCUGAACUUAAGCAUAUCAAUAAGCGGAGGA